Molecule: ribosomal RNA, 440 nt
Filed under: uncultured Peptoniphilus sp.
Lineage: Bacteria; Bacillati; Bacillota; Tissierellia; Tissierellales; Peptoniphilaceae
Description: bacterial SSU rRNA
Rfam family: Bacterial small subunit ribosomal RNA
Source: RNAcentral
AGCGAUGAAACUUUAACAGAACCCUUCGGGGCGAAGAUAAAGUGGAUUAGCGGCGGACGGGUGAGUAACACGUGAGUAACCUGCCUUAGACAUUGGGAUAGCCUCGGGAAACCGGGAUUAAUACCAAAUAAAAUUAUAAUGACACAUGUCAUAACGAUCAAAACUCCGGUGGUCUAAGAUGGACUCGCGUCCCAUUAGCUAGUUGGUAGAGUAAAAGCCUACCAAGGCGACGAUGGGUAGCCGGCCUGAGAGGGUGAACGGCCACAUUGGAACUGAGAAACGGUCCAAACUCCUACGGGAGGCAGCAGUGGGGAAUAUUGCACAAUGGAGGGAACUCUGAUGCAGCGACGCCGCGUGAACGAAGAAGGCUUUCGAGUCGUAAAGUUCUUUUAUAUGGGAAGAUAAUGACGGUACCAUAAGAAAAAGCCCCGGCUAACUAC